UCCCGGGUCGUCUAAUGGCAGGACUGAGGACUUUGGAUCCUCCAGUGGUGGUUCGAAUCCACCCCCGGGAA
Molecule: transfer RNA, 71 nt
Filed under: Candidatus Cloacimonadota bacterium
Lineage: Bacteria; Pseudomonadati; Candidatus Cloacimonadota
Also listed under: 2 other names
Description: tRNA-Gln
Rfam family: tRNA
About the family: Transfer RNA (tRNA) molecules are approximately 80 nucleotides in length. Their secondary structure includes four short double-helical elements and three loops (D, anti-codon, and T loops).
Source: RNAcentral